AAAUUGAAGAGUUUGAUCAUGGCUCAGAUUGAACGCUGGCGGCAGGCCUAACACAUGCAAGUCGAACGGUAACAGGAAGCAGCUUGCUGCUUCGCUGACGAGUGGCGGACGGGUGAGUAAUGUCUGGGAAACUGCCUGAUGGAGGGGGAUAACUACUGGAAACGGUGGCUAAUACCGCAUAACGUCGCAAGACCAAAGAGGGGGACCUUCGGGCCUCUUGCCAUCAGAUGUGCCCAGAUGGGAUUAGCUAGUUGGUGAGGUAACGGCUCACCAAGGCGACGAUCCCUAGCUGGUCUGAGAGGAUGACCAGCCACACUGGAACUGAGACACGGUCCAGACUCCUACGGGAGGCAGCAGUGGGGAAUAUUGCACAAUGGGCGCAAGCCUGAUGCAGCCAUGCCGCGUGUAUGAAGAAGGCCUUCGGGUUGUAAAGUACUUUCAGCGGGGAGGAAGGUGUUGUGGUUAAUAACCACAGCAAUUGACGUUACCCGCAGAAGAAGCACCGGCUAACUCCGUGCCAGCAGCCGCGGUAAUACGGAGGGUGCAAGCGUUAAUCGGAAUUACUGGGCGUAAAGCGCACGCAGGCGGUCUGUCAAGUCGGAUGUGAAAUCCCCGGGCUCAACCUGGGAACUGCAUUCGAAACUGGCAGGCUUGAGUCUUGUAGAGGGGGGUAGAAUUCCAGGUGUAGCGGUGAAAUGCGUAGAGAUCUGGAGGAAUACCGGUGGCGAAGGCGGCCCCCUGGACAAAGACUGACGCUCAGGUGCGAAAGCGUGGGGAGCAAACAGGAUUAGAUACCCUGGUAGUCCACGCCGUAAACGAUGUCUACUUGGAGGUUGUGCCCUUGAGGCGUGGCUUCCGGAGCUAACGCGUUAAGUAGACCGCCUGGGGAGUACGGCCGCAAGGUUAAAACUCAAAUGAAUUGACGGGGGCCCGCACAAGCGGUGGAGCAUGUGGUUUAAUUCGAUGCAACGCGAAGAACCUUACCUGGUCUUGACAUCCACAGAACUUUCCAGAGAUGGAUUGGUGCCUUCGGGAACUGUGAGACAGGUGCUGCAUGGCUGUCGUCAGCUCGUGUUGUGAAAUGUUGGGUUAAGUCCCGCAACGAGCGCAACCCUUAUCCUUUGUUGCCAGCGGUUAGGCCGGGAACUCAAAGGAGACUGCCAGUGAUAAACUGGAGGAAGGUGGGGAUGACGUCAAGUCAUCAUGGCCCUUACGACCAGGGCUACACACGUGCUACAAUGGCGCAUACAAAGAGAAGCGACCUCGCGAGAGCAAGCGGACCUCAUAAAGUGCGUCGUAGUCCGGAUUGGAGUCUGCAACUCGACUCCAUGAAGUCGGAAUCGCUAGUAAUCGUGGAUCAGAAUGCCACGGUGAAUACGUUCCCGGGCCUUGUACACACCGCCCGUCACACCAUGGGAGUGGGUUGCAAAAGAAGUAGGUAGCUUAACCUUCGGGAGGGCGCUUACCACUUUGUGAUUCAUGACUGGGGUGAAGUCGUAACAAGGUAACCGUAGGGGAACCUGCGGUUGGAUCACCUCCUUACCUUAAAGAAGC
This 1554-nucleotide ribosomal RNA is filed under the name Salmonella enterica subsp. enterica serovar Thompson. RNAcentral's name for it is "bacterial SSU rRNA". It matches the Rfam family "Bacterial small subunit ribosomal RNA". RNAcentral also lists the same sequence under 3 other names. Lineage: Bacteria; Pseudomonadati; Pseudomonadota; Gammaproteobacteria; Enterobacterales; Enterobacteriaceae. The record is from RNAcentral.